GCGGCGGACGGGUGAGUAACACGUGGGCAACCUGCCUGUAAGACUGGGAUAACUUCGGGAAACCGGAGCUAAUACCGGAUAAUCCUUUUCUACUCAUGUAGAAAAGCUGAAAGACGGUUUACGCUGUCACUUACAGAUGGGCCCGCGGCGCAUUAGCUAGUUGGUGAGGUAACGGCUCACCAAGGCAACGAUGCGUAGCCGACCUGAGAGGGUGAUCGGCCACACUGGGACUGAGACACGGCCCAGACUCCUACGGGAGGCAGCAGUAGGGAAUCUUCCGCAAUGGACGAAAGUCUGACGGAGCAACGCCGCGUGAGUGAUGAAGGUUUUCGGAUCGUAAAACUCUGUUGUUAGGGAAGAACAAGUACAAGAGUAACUGCUUGUACCUUGACGGUACCUAACCAGAAAGCCACGGCUAACUACG
RNAcentral lists this ribosomal RNA (424 nucleotides) under Bacillus sp. NN1. RNAcentral's name for it is "bacterial SSU rRNA". It matches the Rfam family "Bacterial small subunit ribosomal RNA", at positions 95 to 505 of the family's 1533-position model. Lineage: Bacteria; Bacillati; Bacillota; Bacilli; Caryophanales; Bacillaceae. The record is from RNAcentral.